RNAcentral lists this ribosomal RNA (253 nucleotides) under uncultured bacterium. RNAcentral describes it as "partial 16S ribosomal RNA". It matches the Rfam family "Bacterial small subunit ribosomal RNA", at positions 524 to 776 of the family's 1533-position model. The record is from RNAcentral.
UACGAAGGGGGCGAGCGUUGUUCGGAAUUACUGGGCGUAAAGGGCACGUAGGCGGCCGAUCAAGUCAGAUGUGAAAGUCCUGGGCUUAACCUGGGGACUGCAUUUGAUACUGAUUGGCUUGAAUGCAGGAGAGGAUAGCGGAAUUCCCAGUGUAGAGGUGAAAUUCGUAGAUAUUCGCAAGAACACCAGUGGCGAAGGCGGCUCACUGGCCCGAUACUGACGCUGAGGUGCGAAAGCGUGGGGAGCAAACAGG